UACGUAGGGGGCGAGCGUUAUCCGGAUUCACUGGGUGUAAAGGGAGCGUAGACGGCCAUGCAAGCCAGGGGUGAAAGCCCGGGGCCCAACCCCGGGACUGCCCUUGGAACUGCAUGGCUGGAGUGCGGGAGGGGCAGGCGGAAUUCCUGGUGUAGCGGUGAAAUGCGUAGAUAUUAGGAGGAACACCGGCGGCGAAGGCGGCUUACUGGACUGUAACUGACGUUGAGGCUCGAAAGCGUGGGGAGCAAACAGG
Molecule: ribosomal RNA, 253 nt
Filed under: uncultured bacterium
Lineage: Bacteria
Description: partial 16S ribosomal RNA
Rfam family: Bacterial small subunit ribosomal RNA
Source: RNAcentral